UACGUAGGAGGCGAGCGUUGUCCGGAUUUAUUGGGCGUAAAGAGCUCGUAGGCGGCUUGUCGCGUCGGAUGUGAAAGCCCGGGGCUUAACCCCGGGUCUGCAUUCGAUACGGGCAGGCUAGAGUUCGGUAGGGGAGAUCGGAAUUCCUGGUGUAGCGGUGAAAUGCGCAGAUAUCAGGAGGAACACCGGUGGCGAAGGCGGAUCUCUGGGCCGAUACUGACGCUGAGGAGCGAAAGCGUGGGGAGCGAACAGG
RNAcentral lists this ribosomal RNA (253 nucleotides) under uncultured bacterium. RNAcentral's name for it is "partial 16S ribosomal RNA". It matches the Rfam family "Bacterial small subunit ribosomal RNA", at positions 524 to 776 of the family's 1533-position model. The record is from RNAcentral.